Mirounga angustirostris (Northern elephant seal) is the source of this 3834-nucleotide long non-coding RNA. RefSeq lists it as uncharacterized. NCBI's taxonomy places the organism in Eukaryota, Metazoa, Chordata, Mammalia, Carnivora, Phocidae. The record is from RefSeq and is a predicted model, not a curated record. The transcript has 3 exons.
UCAAAAAAACCUGCGCAUUCCCUAGCCAGUUGGAAAUCCUGGGAGCCCCAGGCUAACCUGAAACUUGUCAGGCUGCCUACAGACAGGUAGAGAACACAGCUGAGCUCAUGGUGCAGGAGGGUAGAAAGAUAGCAGUUUCGGAGCAAGCACACUGUUUACGAUCCCAAUUCCUCCACCCAGCAGUGGGGUGGCCCUGCUAAGUUCUCAGACUUUCCACUUCCAUUUCCUCCUCUGGCACAGGGGAAUAGCACCUCCCCCCAGGAAUACAGUGAGAAUUAAAUUAGAUCCCAUGCAUACAGUUGCUGAGACGGGGCUGAACACACAGUUGCCUCUUAUUUGAGGUUUCUUUCCAUGAGAUCCACCCACCAUGGGACUCUGCUGUUUUAGAGUGACGCUGAGAAAGUUGGUGCUCUCCUUAAUUUGGAGGAGGGUGAGAAUAGACCCGCCAACAAGCUUAUUCCUCUUUCAAUUAGGUAUGUUGCUCCUGGAAGCCUCUGAAAGGUAAUAUGACUAGGUACUAACCCAAGGAAAACCUUGAGAAGAGAUUCUUUUUUUUUUUAUUUUUUAAAAAGAUUUUAUUUAUUUAUUUAAUUGACACAGAGAGAGAGAACAUAAACAGGGGGAAUGGGAGAGGGAGAAGCUGGCUUCCCUCUGAGCAGGGAGCCCGAUGCGGGGCUCGAUCCCAGGACCCUGGGAUCACGACCUGAGCCGAAGGCAGACGCUUAACCAGCUGAGCCACCCAGGUGCUCCGAGAAGAGAUGAAGCUGGACCAUUGGAGAAGGGAGACGUAUGUGGGUGUGUGAGCGCACAUGAGCAUGUGUGUGCAUGCGUGUAAUUGUGUGUGUGUGUGCACGUGCACGUGUUGGGGAGUAGUAGGUGAGCAUAUAACCCAGGACCAUCACUGUCACUCAGAAUCUACCCCCACAUUGCUCUUCUUGGAGCUCACUCCUAAAACUCCAUGGGAAGAGAGGAUGAUGACACGCACAUAGUCACCUGGUCCCCACCUUCUGCAUUGCAGGCGUGUGCAUACUUUCAAUGGCAGGCAGCUAAGGCUGUCAGGGAGAGCUGUGUGUUGCCUAAGAGGGACCAAGGAACUCCAUCACCCUGCAUUUUUUACUACUAAACUCACCUAAACCUGCUUAAGUUCAACAGAAAUCCUUGUUGGGACCAAAUUCUUAUUCCAUUAGUCUACCUACGGAUUUGUAGCUAUGCUUCAGGUAAUACAUAGAUUUCUUAUACUUUUCAUGGUUAAUAAUUAAGAGGCAUUUAUAUUGCCUCUUAAUUUUAUAAAAUAAUCCAAGAAAAAUACAGAGGUGGCAUAGUAUAUUUAUCAAAAUGACUGCCUCAGAGGCUGGAAUGCCUGGGUUCAAGUUCAACUUUACCAUUGGACAAGUUAUUUAAUUUCUCUGUUUCAGUCUUCUCAUCUAUAAAUGUCAGUAAUACUACCUGAUUCAUAGGCUGUUAUGUGAAUUAAUGAGUUAAUAUUUAUGUAGCUCUUAGAAUAGUACCUGCCAUAUUAUAAGUACAAAAUCUUAUAUAUACAUAUUAAAUAAAAAUUUGUUUUAAAAGCACACAUAUAUUACUAUAAACAUAACACAGCACAAUCCUGCAACUGUUGGUUCAACAGUGUCCAUAGUACUGAUAAAGAUAACAGGUAACUGCACCCUGUAUGGACCAGGCAUUAUAUGCACUAUUUUCGUUCCAUCUUCACCACCAUCCUGUACGUCCUUUACAUUCAAUAUCAUUUCAUCAGUAAGAAAACGGAGAUUGAGAAUUCAGAUUCCUCCUGGGACAAGCCGUGAAGACAGUACAAUCCAUGUCCCCAACACUUGUGCACACACAAAUACCCAUUGAACUACAGUCGAAGAUAAGACUUGUUUUUUAACUUAUAAAGUGCAUAAAUCAAAGUACACCCCAACUAUUACUUAUUAAUCUGUUUAGUGAGUUUUAGGUAGGAGGCCUUCCGCAGGCAAGGAGAUCCUUUUUGGAACUCACACCUUCCCGGCAGAAGCAAUUUACAAUGCCUCGUGUUGUUUGUCCUGGUUGACGCUAGGUGGCGCUCCGAACUAACCAACUCUUAUUUUAGAGGCAAUUUCUCCAGGCCUUUGGGUAAUUAUUAACCUCUCAUUACACACUUAACAGUUUUCUCUCCCUUUUGGUGAACAGAAAUUACUAUCCCCAUUUGACAGACGGUGAUCCGGGGGCCCCUGGGAAGCCCUAAGACUACAGGACGUCCAGAGGCAGGAAAGAACAUGAGAGGAACAAAUUGAGUGACUUGGACUCUUGUCUAAAUGGUGUAGAGAAAUCAGGCCGGAUAAUUCUUUCAUUCCACGAAGAACUCAUCAGCACCCUCGAGAAGCCCAGCACUGUGCUGGGUUCGGGGAAUAAGAAAAGGGCAAUGACCACAGAGAGGAGGAGGAAACUUGUGCAGCGGUGAAUACCAGAACUGGCUCUUCUAGCGCUUAGUAGGGAACAGAAUUCUGAGAUUCCUGGUUAAGUGUAUCAGUCAUGACCAUGACGAUAGUCCUAAUAAGAGUAACAAUAAACGUAUUAAGCAGUGUGUAUUGAAAGGGUUGGUGACUUCGCGAUGUGUGGAAGAUCAACCCAGCACCUUGGCUGUGACACACACUCCUCAAACAAAGCCCCAAAGGACACUGCACGGAAGUGUGGGCUUAUCCAAGUCCAACAGAAGAGGCCCUUGAGAUGCAGAACAUUAAGUAAUUGAUUUUAAAACACCCGAUUGCUAACUGGUAACUUUAAAGAGUUUUAGAUAAAGAACUGACUAUAAAGGUUAUGUUUUUAACCUCUGAAGUGUCCAGGCCUAGUCGGAUUGUCGAAGGAUAACGGUGUAAUACAGAUUGUCUUUGGCCUCACCCUUUCCUGCCCCAAGGAAUUUACGCCGCAGGAUGCUGUUUGCGCGACUGGACACUAGAUGGCGCUCCAGAUAAAAACUGCCCGCAGCUGCCGGCACCGUCUUCAAUCAUUAACCUUGGGUUGACAUUGUACUACCCAGAUUUCAAACCUCAUUCAUACAGUCUGUUGACGUGACAGUAUUGAGAAGCAGUGAGGCUGGAAUAAGGGCCCAGAACAGUCGAGCAGGCAGGCCAGCUGAGGACUUUGGGGGUCAGUACUCCUCAUAAGGAGAUACAUUGUCUUGGACAAGAAACCUGCGAGGCUUGAUCCACUCACUCCCCCAAACAGUUACUAAGGAGGAGAAAUACGAAUGACUAUGCUUGCACUGCCUACAGUUUAGAAUAAAGAAGAAAACACAUGGGAAGGGAAUGGACAGGAGUGCAGAGCUGAGGCCCAGGGAGGAACGGGUCUGGAAACAAUCUCGGAGAAGCCACGUCAACUCUAUCUUAAAUGAACCAACCUGCAGUUAACCACACUGCUGGACACGUCAGUUUCUGCUCCUUCUCCAACCUCCACCCUUUAACGGUAAAGGAUUUUACAAAGAAGGCAUAAACCCUCAAAGAUGAAGAGGAUGGGAGAGGAGACAACCCAUGAACGAGGUCAACAGAAUUUUGGAAGCUGGAGAGCACAUGGAUGAACGCCUUGCCAGACCAGAGAAAGCUGUGGUCAACCCCAGCAAGGGGACGAAACCAGUAAGAAACAAAUAAAUUCCCCACCACAGAAGCCUAGAGAGAUAUAAGUCUUUGAGACACCAGGUAUCUCUGAGGUCAGGGUUGUGAGCAGGACUGGAAAUAGGUAGGUUGGUUGGAAACCUGUGGAAGAGGCACUCUGAUGCCCAGGUUACGUCCCCGCACCAACAGCCAGGCAGCUACUGGAGCCCAAGUUGGCAGGAGACUGAGGGUUUUCCUUGUAUGACAUUCA